CUUAUGAAAAUCAAUAUUUUUUUAGUUUUCUUUUUUUUUUUUUUGAACAAAAAAACUCACAAAAAAGAAUUCAAAAAGAUCAUUUUCUUAGUUCCCAAAAGUUGGUAUUUGGUAAUAUCAUCAAUUGGGCUCCAAAAAAAAGGUGUGAACAGAUCCAGUGACAAGAAAAAUAGUGUUCACAGGAAGCUUAACAAAGUUAUAAAUAUAGGUCGAUUCACUUCUAUUCCUCACUACAAAAAACUCUCUUAGUAAUGCAAGACUUUUCUGUAUCUAUAAUUUAAUUUUCAUAGGUGAUCCAAACUAAACCCCCCGCGCCACAUCUUCCUCCCAUAAACUUCUCUCCACUCCUACAUCUCAGAAAAUAAUGACAAAGAAAAUGUUUAUUGAGUUUAUAGGUGAGUUUGCAAUCAUGAAGGAUCUGAACUUGGAUCAUUUCAGCCCGAGUAUUGCUGUUAUAGACCCUAAAUACACUCUAACCCGUACCCCUGAUCCAAAUUUUAGCUUCGCCUUCAACAACAACAUCUUCUUCGACCAUCUCCUCCAGAUCUAGAUUAUGGCCGAUCCCCACUCCAAUUCAGGGUGGGAUCGGCCAUAAUCUCGAUCUGAAGGAGACAGUCGGAGAAGUUGUUGCUGUUGAAAAAAUCCAAAAACCGGGUCCUGGAUACAUGUUGGAGAGAAUUUUUGGUCAAUACAGCUGUUCUUGGGGUCGAAAAGAUCCAAAUUCUGAUCAUUUAUGACUGUAAACUCAACUAUAAACUCUACUAAUCUUUACUUUAUAAUUGUCUCCGAUAUGUAGGAGGGAGAAAUGUUUGUGGGAGGAAGACGGAGGGUAAGGGGUUUAGAUUGGGUCACCCAUGAAAGUUGAAUUAUAGAUAGACAAGUCAGCAUGAAGCCCGACUCUAGCAAACAAUCCUUUGUAAUGUUUCAUGUAAAAAAAUCAAUGUCUUAAUCCCCCAAGUUUGUUUCUCAUUGAUCCCUUUUCCAAAAGCAACCCUAACGCUUUUGACAAUUCCAAAAAUCUAUUUCAUAUAUGUAUAUGUAUCUAUUCGUGUGGUUGGUUUCAAAAGCUACUCUUGUUAUUGUAUUGUUUUGUUGUGGUAUCUUUCUGUUAUUUUGUUACUGUUUGCUAUUUCUUCUACCUCCGUUACUUUUUUCUCGGGACUAUUUUUGACUGUUUCUCUACUAAGGUUUGUGCAUACUCUAUUCUUCCUAGACCCCACUUUGUGGGACUACAUUGGGUAUGUUGUUGUUGGUUGGGGACCUGGUGUUUCAAUUUAUGCUAAAUGCUGUCGCUUUUGGUUCAGUGCGACUGUAUCACCUUUUGUAGUUCAGUUGAGCUUGAUUUAUUUGUCCUUCCAAAAGAAAGGUGUUAUAUUCAAUCAAUUAUUGGGUUGCUUGGAGCAUGAAGAGCAAUUUUGGUUCUUAUUCUUGAUUGGCACAACUUUUUAAACAUUAUAUUUCGGUAUCUGAUCAUGUAUUGGUCUUCAACGUUUUGACGUAACUGAUGCUUUUUCUAAUCUGUCAAGAAUUUGGUGCAUCUUCUAUCCGUUAUUGCUGAGAGAUUAGCCAUUGUUUUCCCCUUUUUUCCGCCUCUGUAUUUCAACACCCAAGAUCAAGUAAAUUAUCAUGAAGAUUUAUUACAAUAAAUGUUUAUUGCAAAGUUAAUAGGUUAAUUAUAAAUGUACAUGAUAACUACAUGUGCACUUUCUUAUGGAGGAGAGUUCAGCAUGAAGAUAAAAGACAUUACCAAGUUUGUGACUGUUGUCGUUGUUCACCAAGAUAUUCUAGUCAUUUGCUAUGUUUAUGGUUCUGGGUAUGUUGUCGUUGCUACUAUGUUUAUGGACCAUCUUCAUCAAGUAUGAAAGUAAUUAUAUAGUUUGUUUUAACGUCCUGCUUGUUUUAUGCUUUGCAAGUUACAAGAUUGUAACCAUACUUGAAACUUCGAAUACCGCUUGCAAAAAAUCAAACGAGUUUGAACGAGAAA
Molecule: long non-coding RNA, 1984 nt
Organism: Capsicum annuum
Lineage: Eukaryota; Viridiplantae; Streptophyta; Magnoliopsida; Solanales; Solanaceae
Exons: 2
Source: RefSeq, a predicted model, not a curated record